RNAcentral lists this transfer RNA (76 nucleotides) under Burkholderiales bacterium. RNAcentral describes it as "tRNA-Ala". It matches the Rfam family "tRNA". Rfam says of the family: Transfer RNA (tRNA) molecules are approximately 80 nucleotides in length. Their secondary structure includes four short double-helical elements and three loops (D, anti-codon, and T loops). Lineage: Bacteria; Pseudomonadati; Pseudomonadota; Betaproteobacteria; Burkholderiales. The record is from RNAcentral. RNAcentral also lists the same sequence under 3 other names.
GGGGACGUAGCUCAGCUGGGAGAGCGCCGCGUUCGCAAUGCGGAGGUCGUGAGUUCGAUCCUCAUCGUCUCCACCA